Long non-coding RNA from Xenia sp. Carnegie-2017, 705 nucleotides. RefSeq lists it as uncharacterized. NCBI's taxonomy places the organism in Eukaryota, Metazoa, Cnidaria, Anthozoa, Malacalcyonacea, Xeniidae. The transcript is spliced from 2 exons. The record is from RefSeq and is a predicted model, not a curated record.
AUUUUAUGCACUUAGCCUCUCAGACUUGUCAUUAACCUUGGGAAUUUUUCAAUACAUUCAAAACUUGAAUCUACUCAACAAAAGGUGAACUUCAAGCUGUGAAACGCUUGUGGAAUGUGGUUUACUAUAACAGCAUCAAAACAUUUUUCAGAGAUCAAAAUUUGUUCGUAAAUCAUCAUUGUCCAGUCUUCAACGCUCGCACGAAAAUACCUUAAUGUGUUGGUCUUGGUCUUUGAUGAACAAUUUGGCAAUAUUACAAACAAACAACCAUUACGAAACGUAUUGCAUAACUAAAAUGUCGAAAUCCCAUGACCUCAAGGGACAGCAAAUUACGAGUCUCCCACAGUAUCGAGUCGAUCUUUGUUAUUCUCCAGUCCUAUCCUCACUAAAAGUUCAAAAUCUUCACAGCAUGUGCUGUAAAUGGCUUACUUCAUUCUAAAAGUAAAAUAUACUAAUCUUUCCAACAUACAUUUGUUUACGUGUGCGGAUACAGUUCGAACUUUUACAGUUAAAAGUAAAGUUUUUACGCACAUGUUCAUAUUAUGUCGCACGUUUAUCAAUUGUCAUUGAUUUUCAACAGUCUAGACAGUAAUGGCUUUACUCUAAACUGCCACAGGGAAGGUUUAUGAACGCAUGCGCACUUGCAUAUUUGCUUUCAGCCUGUGUAUUAUAUAUCACAAAUCAUUAAAGAAAAAAAUUCAUUAA